This 337-nucleotide small RNA is filed under the name Arabidopsis thaliana (thale cress). RNAcentral's name for it is "ATSL009200". Lineage: Eukaryota; Viridiplantae; Streptophyta; Magnoliopsida; Brassicales; Brassicaceae. The record is from RNAcentral.
UUUUAACAACAAAAAUAAAGCAAUCAAUAUCAUACAUCAACAAUAUCCAAUGCAAUGGCUGUACCAGAGUCUCCUCAAUGAUAGAUCGUUGAUCAGAAGUGGCAGCGUUUAAUUUAAUAAAGCAAAGGAAUUUUAAUAAAAUAUUUUAUUGCAGCAAAAAAAAUACAUGUCGUUUUUCUUCAAUGUAAAAUGCAGCGUUUAAUUUAACUGGAUAUUUAACAGUACAGUAGACGGAAUGAGGUUUUCACUAACAAUUUUAGAGUUCAUGUGUUUUUUUAUUAAAUAUAUCGUUGAGGGGUUUUUUCACAAUCCAUAUUUAGUUGGGGGGGUUUUAUUA